This 120-nucleotide small RNA is filed under the name Kluyvera cryocrescens. RNAcentral describes it as "RtT RNA". It matches the Rfam family "RtT RNA", at positions 15 to 130 of the family's 130-position model. From Rfam's summary of the family: This family represents a bacterial cis-regulatory element known as RtT RNA. The exact function of RtT is unknown although it is thought that it may be involved in changing the cellular response in relation to amino acid starvation. The record is from RNAcentral. Lineage: Bacteria; Pseudomonadati; Pseudomonadota; Gammaproteobacteria; Enterobacterales; Enterobacteriaceae.
UGCGGGAAGGAUGAGAAGCUUCGACUAAGGUUCGAUUCGAGCGUAGCGAGAAAGCGUUGCCGCAGGCAACGACCCGAAGGGCGAAGCGCGCAGCGCUGAGUCAUCCUUCCCCCACCACCA